UACAGAGGGGGCUAGCGUUGUUCGGAAUUACUGGGCGUAAAGGGCGCGUAGGUGGCCUGUUAAGUCGAACGUGAAAUCCCCGGGCUCAACCCGGGAACCGCGUCCGAGACUGGCAGGCUCGAAUCCGGGAGAGGGAUGUGGAAUUCCAGGUGUAGCGGUGAAAUGCGUAGAUAUCUGGAGGAAUACCGGUGGCGAAGGCGGCAUCCUGGACCAUAACUGACGCUGAGGCGCGAAAGCUAGGGGAGCAAACGGG
This 253-nucleotide ribosomal RNA is filed under the name uncultured bacterium. RNAcentral's name for it is "partial 16S ribosomal RNA". It matches the Rfam family "Bacterial small subunit ribosomal RNA", at positions 524 to 776 of the family's 1533-position model. The record is from RNAcentral.